CCAGACUCCUACGGGAGGCAGCAGUCGGGAAUAUUGCGCAAUGGAGGAAACUCUGACGCAGUGACGCCGCGUAUAGGAAGAAGGUUUUCGGAUUGUAAACUAUUGUCCACAGGGAAGAAAAAAGACUGUACCUGUGAAGAAAGCUCCGGCUAACUACGUGCCAGCAGCCGCGGUAAUACGUAGGGAGCAAGCGUUGUCCGGAAUUACUGGGUGUAAAGGGAGCGUAGGCGGGAAUGCAAGUUGGAAGUGAAAGGUAUGGGCUCAACCCAUGAACUGCUUUCAAAACUGUAUUUCUUGAGUGAAGUAGAGGCAGGCGGAAUUCCUAGUGUAGCGGUGAAAUGCGUAGAUAUUAGGAGGAACACCAGUGGCGAAGGCGGCCUGCUGGGCUUUAACUGACGCUGAGGCUCGAAAGCGUGGGUAGCAAACAGGAUUAGAUACCCCGGUAC
RNAcentral lists this ribosomal RNA (446 nucleotides) under uncultured bacterium. RNAcentral describes it as "bacterial SSU rRNA". It matches the Rfam family "Bacterial small subunit ribosomal RNA", at positions 331 to 793 of the family's 1533-position model. The record is from RNAcentral.